CGGAGGUGCAAGCGUUAUCCGGAUUCACUGGGUUUAAAGGGUGCGUAGGAGGGCAGGGAAGUCAGUGGUGAAAUCUCCGGGCUUAACUCGGAAACUGCCGUUGAUACUCUCUGUCUUGAAUCCCGUGGAGGUGAGCGGAAUAUGUCAUGUAGCGGUGAAAUGCUUAGAUAUGACAUAGAACACCAAUUGCGAAGACAGCUCGCUACACGAAGAUUGACUCUGAGGCACGAAAGCGUGGGAUCAAACAGGAUU
RNAcentral lists this ribosomal RNA (252 nucleotides) under uncultured bacterium. RNAcentral's name for it is "partial 16S ribosomal RNA". It matches the Rfam family "Bacterial small subunit ribosomal RNA", at positions 527 to 779 of the family's 1533-position model. The record is from RNAcentral.